This 420-nucleotide ribosomal RNA is filed under the name Pseudomonas sp. AE_149. RNAcentral describes it as "bacterial SSU rRNA". It matches the Rfam family "Bacterial small subunit ribosomal RNA", at positions 17 to 439 of the family's 1533-position model. The record is from RNAcentral. Lineage: Bacteria; Pseudomonadati; Pseudomonadota; Gammaproteobacteria; Pseudomonadales; Pseudomonadaceae.
UUCUGGCUCAGAUUGAACGCUGGCGGCAGGCCUAACACAUGCAAGUCGAGCGGAUGACGGGAGCUUGCUCCUUGAUUCAGCGGCGGACGGGUGAGUAAUGCCUAGGAAUCUGCCUGGUAGUGGGGGACAACGUUUCGAAAGGAACGCUAAUACCGCAUACGUCCUACGGGAGAAAGCAGGGGACCUUCGGGCCUUGCGCUAUCAGAUGAGCCUAGGUCGGAUUAGCUAGUUGGUGGGGUAAUGGCUCACCAAGGCGACGAUCCGUAACUGGUCUGAGAGGAUGAUCAGUCACACUGGAACUGAGACACGGUCCAGACUCUUACGGGAGGCAGCAGUGGGGAAUAUUGGACAAUGGGCGAAAGCCUGAUCCAGCCAUGCCGCGUGUGUGAAGAAGGUCUUCGGAUUGUAGAGCACUUUAAG